GAUGAACGCUGGCGGCGUGCCUAAUACAUGCAAGUCGAGCGAACGGACGAGAAGCUUGCUUCUCUGAUGUUAGCGGCGGACGGGUGAGUAACACGUGGAUAACCUACCUAUAAGACUGGGAUAACUUCGGGAAACCGGAGCUAAUACCGGAUAAUAUUUUGAACCGCAUGGUUCAAAAGUGAAAGACGGUCUUGCUGUCACUUAUAGAUGGAUCCGCGCUGCAUUAGCUAGUUGGUAAGGUAACGGCUUACCAAGGCAACGAUGCAUAGCCGACCUGAGAGGGUGAUCGGCCACAUUGGAACUGAGACCAGGUCCAGACUCCUACGGUAGGCAGCAGUAGGGAAUCUUCCGCAAUGGGCGAAAGCCUGACGGAGCAACGCCGCGUGAGUGAUGAAGGUCUUCGGAUCGUAAAACUCUGUUAUUAGGGAAGAACAUAUGUGUAAGUAACUGUGCACAUCUUGACGGUACCUAAUCAGAAAGCCACGGCUAACUACGUG
RNAcentral lists this ribosomal RNA (497 nucleotides) under uncultured bacterium. Its description in RNAcentral is "partial 16S ribosomal RNA". It matches the Rfam family "Bacterial small subunit ribosomal RNA", at positions 28 to 507 of the family's 1533-position model. The record is from RNAcentral.